Molecule: ribosomal RNA, 1016 nt
Filed under: uncultured bacterium
Lineage: Bacteria
Description: bacterial SSU rRNA
Rfam family: Bacterial small subunit ribosomal RNA
Source: RNAcentral
AGGAAUAUUGGUCAAUGGGCGCGAGCCUGAACCAGCCAAGUAGCGUGAAGGAUGAAGGUCCUACGGAUUGUAAACUUCUUUUAUAAGGGAAUAAAGUCACCCACGUGUGGGUGUUUGUAUGUACCUUAUGAAUAAGCAUCGGCUAACUCCGUGCCAGCAGCCGCGGUAAUACGGAGGAUGCGAGCGUUAUCCGGAUUUAUUGGGUUUAAAGGGAGCGUAGACGGGCCGUUAAGUCAGCUGUGAAAGUUUGAGGCUCAACCUUAAAAUUGCAGUUGAUACUGGCGUCCUUGAGUACGGUCGAGGCAGGCGGAAUUCGUGGUGUAGCGGUGAAAUGCUUAGAUAUCACGAAGAACCCCGAUUGCGAAGGCAGCCUGCUAAACCGCCACUGACGUUGAGGCUCGAAAGUGUGGGUAUCAAACAGGAUUAGAUACCCUGGUAGUCCACACGGUAAACGAUGGAUACUCGCUGUUGGCGAUAGACUGUCAGCGGCUUAGCGAAAGCGUUAAGUAUCCCACCUGGGGAGUACGCCGGCAACGGUGAAACUCAAAGGAAUUGACGGGGGCCCGCACAAGCGGAGGAACAUGUGGUUUAAUUCGAUGAUACGCGAGGAACCUUACCCGGGCUUGAAUUGCAGACGAAUUGCUUGGAAACAGGCAAGCCGCAAGGCGUCUGUGAAGGUGCUGCAUGGUUGUCGUCAGCUCGUGCCGUGAGGUGUCGGCUUAAGUGCCAUAACGAGCGCAACCCUCGUGUCCAGUUACUAGCAGGUUAUGCUGAGGACUCUGGACAGACUGCCAUCGUAAGAUGUGAGGAAGGUGGGGAUGACGUCAAAUCAGCACGGCCCUUACGUCCGGGGCUACACACGUGUUACAAUGGGGGGUACAGCAGGCAGCUACCGGGCGACCGGAUGCCAAUCCCGAAAGCCUCUCUCAGUUCGGACUGGAGUCUGCAACCCGACUCCACGAAGCUGGAUUCGCUAGUAAUCGCGCAUCAGCCACGGCGCGGUGAAUACGUUCCCG